UACGUAGGGUGCGAGCGUUAAUCGGAAUUACUGGGCGUAAAGCGUGCGCAGGCGGUUUUGUAAGCCAGAUGUGAAAGCCCCGGGCUUAACCUGGGAAUGGCAUUUGGGACUGCAAGGCUGGAGUGUGGCAGAGGAGACUGGAAUUCCUGGUGUAGCAGUGAAAUGCGUAGAUAUCAGGAGGAAUACCGAUGGCGAAGGCAGGUCUCUGGGCUGACACUGACGCUCAUGCACGAAAGCUAGGGGAGCGAAUGGG
This 253-nucleotide ribosomal RNA is filed under the name uncultured bacterium. RNAcentral's name for it is "partial 16S ribosomal RNA". It matches the Rfam family "Bacterial small subunit ribosomal RNA", at positions 524 to 776 of the family's 1533-position model. The record is from RNAcentral.